CCUACGGGCGGCAGCAGUGGGGGAUAUUGCACAAUGGGGGAAACCCUGAUGCAGCGACGCCGCGUGGGUGAAGAAGCGCCUCGGCGCGUAAAGCCCUGUCAGCAGGGAAGAAAAUGACGGUACCUGAAGAAGACGCCCCGGCUAACUACGUGCCAGCAGCCGCGGUAAUACUUAGGGAGCAAGCGUUAUCCGGAUUUACUGGGUGUAACGGAGGCGCAGACGGGGAUGCCAGCCCGGAGUGAAAGCCCUGGGCCCAAACCCGGGACUGCUCUUGGAACUGCGUGGAUAGAGUGCAGGAGGGGCAGGCGGAAUGCCUGGUGUAGCGGUGAAAUGCGUAGAUAGCAGGAGGAACACCGAUGACGAAGGCAGCCUGCUGGACUGCAACUGACGUUGAGGCCCGAAAGCGUGGGGAGCAAACAGGAUUAGAUACCCGAGUAGUC
This 440-nucleotide ribosomal RNA is filed under the name uncultured bacterium. RNAcentral describes it as "partial 16S ribosomal RNA". It matches the Rfam family "Bacterial small subunit ribosomal RNA", at positions 338 to 795 of the family's 1533-position model. The record is from RNAcentral.